UGUCCCAGUUCGGACUGGAGUCUGCAACCCGACUCCACGAAGUUGGAUUCGCUAGUAAUCGCGCAUCAGCCACGGCGCGGUGAAUACGUUCCCGGGCCUUGUACACACCGCCCGUCAAGCCAUGGGAGCCGGGGGCGCCUGAAGUCCGGGACCGCGAGGACCGGCCUAGGGCGAAACUGGUAACUGGGGCUAAGUCGUAACAAGGUAGC
RNAcentral lists this ribosomal RNA (209 nucleotides) under uncultured bacterium. RNAcentral's name for it is "partial 16S ribosomal RNA". It matches the Rfam family "Bacterial small subunit ribosomal RNA", at positions 1284 to 1500 of the family's 1533-position model. The record is from RNAcentral.